This 544-nucleotide ribosomal RNA is filed under the name uncultured fungus. RNAcentral describes it as "eukaryotic LSU rRNA". The stretch from base 168 to 321 matches the Rfam family "5.8S ribosomal RNA". The record is from RNAcentral. Lineage: Eukaryota; Fungi.
CACCUGUGCACCUCUUGUAGACUUGGAUUGACUUUCCGAGGCAACUCGGUCGGGAGGAUUGCUGGCAUCAGCUGGCUUUCUUUGCAUUUCCGGGUCUACGUUUUUCAUAUACCCCAUUGUAUGUAACAGAAUGUAAUAUUGGGCCCUUGUGCCUAUAAACCUUAUACAACUUUCAGCAACGGAUCUCUUGGCUCUCGCAUCGAUGAAGAACGCAGCGAAAUGCGAUAAGUAAUGUGAAUUGCAGAAUUCAGUGAAUCAUCGAAUCUUUGAACGCACCUUGCGCUCCUUGGUAUUCCGAGGAGCAUGCCUGUUUGAGUGUCAUUAAAUUCUCAACCUUUAUCACUUUUGCUGAUAAUGGCUUGGAUAUGGGGGUCUAUUUUGCUGGCUUCCUUACGGAUGGUCAGCUCCCCUUAAAUGCAUUAGCCGGUGCCCCGCGUGGACUGUCUAUUGGUGUGAUAAUUAUCUACGCCGUGGACAUCUGCAAUCAUAUGGGUUUGCACUGCUUCCAACCGUCUGUUCAAUCAGACAAUAUAUGACAAUUGAC